GGGGCCGACCUGGUUUCGACGUGGGUGCGGAAUCGGAGCAGGGCAUGCCGAGCACCAGUUCGCUCGUAAAACCACUGGAAACAAAGUAACUGCGAACGACGAACGUUUCGCCCUCGCCGCUUAACACCGGUGAGCCUCUCAACGGUUGGCCGAUGGGCCGGGCCUGAGAUCGCAAGGUCAAGGGCUGAGAGGUCAUUCACAUUGGCUGGAUCUGAGCCGGGUCACACGGUUCAGGUCGAGAUCUCGUGACUGGCGUGUCCAAGAGGGUGUUCCUGCCCGCUUGGCGCGUGAGACUCAAAUCAGAGAACUACGCAUGUAGAACUGCCUGAGGAUGGCUUGCGGACGGGGGUUCAAUUCCCCCCGGCUCCACCA
RNAcentral lists this transfer-messenger RNA (372 nucleotides) under Sphaerotilus natans. It matches the Rfam family "transfer-messenger RNA". Rfam says of the family: Bacterial tmRNA, also known as 10Sa RNA or SsrA, is named for its dual tRNA and mRNA-like properties. Its role is to liberate the mRNA from a stalled ribosome. Lineage: Bacteria; Pseudomonadati; Pseudomonadota; Betaproteobacteria; Burkholderiales; Sphaerotilaceae. The record is from RNAcentral. RNAcentral also lists the same sequence under 1 other name.